RNAcentral lists this unclassified non-coding RNA (211 nucleotides) under Basidiomycota sp. Its description in RNAcentral is "partial contains small subunit ribosomal RNA, internal transcribed spacer 1, and 5.8S ribosomal RNA". The stretch from base 1 to 47 matches the Rfam family "Eukaryotic small subunit ribosomal RNA", at positions 1785 to 1831 of the family's 1831-position model. Lineage: Eukaryota; Fungi; Basidiomycota. The record is from RNAcentral.
AAAGUCGUAACAAGGUUUCCGUAGGUGAACCUGCGGAAGGAUCAUUACCAAAGCACCUUUUUGCGGUGGACAUGUUCUGUCUGCUGCGCCUGCCUGCCCCUUGUUCAAACGAACAAGUGUGGUUGGGCUUUCAACCCAUCACAAACCUGUCGUAGUAUGAUUUUGAAUACGAAUAUCAAUAUAACUUUCAACAACGGAUCUCUUGGCUCUC